ACGAACGCUGGCGGCAGGCUUAACACAUGCAAGUCGAACGAACGCAGCAAUGCGUUAGUGGCGCACGGGUGAGUAACGCGUGGAUAUCUGCCUUUUGGUUCGGGAUAACCUUGGGAAACUAGGGCUAAUACCGAAUGGUUCCUACGGGAUAAAGAUUUAUCGCCAAAAGAUGAGUCCGCGUCCGAUUAGCUAGUUGGUGAGGUAAUGGCUCACCAAGGCGACGAUCGGUAGCUGGUCUGAGAGGACGAUCAGCCACACUGGGACUGAGACACGGCCCAGACUCCUACGGGAGGCAGCAGUGGGGAAUAUUGGACAAUGGGGGCAACCCUGAUCCAGCCAUGCCGCGUGAGUGAUGAAGGCCUUCGGGUUGUAAAGCUCUUUUGGCGGGGACGAUGAUGACGGUACCCGCAGAAUAAGCCCCGGCUAACUUCGU
This 433-nucleotide ribosomal RNA is filed under the name uncultured bacterium. RNAcentral's name for it is "bacterial SSU rRNA". It matches the Rfam family "Bacterial small subunit ribosomal RNA", at positions 29 to 506 of the family's 1533-position model. The record is from RNAcentral.